AACUCUGCCCAUUAUUUCUCGCCGGCGCCCGAGAUCAAACCGAGGACCACAGGAUCACAAGUCCAGCGUGCUGUCCGCUCGGCCGCCCAGCUCCCUUUGUUCGUAUAGUGUAGAGAAGCUGCACAAAUAUUGAUGUAUCUAAAUGAGCUAACAAAAAACAUGAGGGAGGGGACUGGGAUAGGGAUACCGACUAUCCAGGUCACCGCCAAGUAUCCCUCUUAAUAUUACUAUAUACCCAAAGCCUGACUAUCCAAAUACACCUCGAGGCUAACCAUAGCCUGUGCUUCUUGCCCCGCUCCUGUGCCAGGUAAGUUACGGGCUCACCAUAGCCCGUGCUACUUGGAAUUUGUUCCGAGUAGCUGAAUCUAUAACAACAUAUCCAAAUACAUAUUAAGGUAGGCAAGAUAUGCUCAGACGUGUUUGCCGUGUGUGGCCACCUCUUGACGUAACACUGGAGGUUGCUCAACUUGGGGAGUAUUCAUGAGCAGCCGCAAGCUAUCAAGUAUUAAUUAUAAGCUCAGUGGCACCCCCGCUAUGUGGAGUGGAGGUCGCGCCGGGAACGCGUGCCUCGACAACACGCCUACAGGGGCCCUUUGACGAGAUAAUGACACACUGCUCUUAAGAACCGAACUGAGCGAGUAGUUGCUUUAAUUAAUAUCCACCCGGGAGGUUUGAGUAUUUCCUGCGUGCUGGUCCACCACCUGUCGCAACACCACCAACGGCAGCGUGGCACGUCUCACCUUUAAGAUCACAAGUACCACCAGCGGCACGAGGUACCGGACCUCCAGCGGCACGAGUGGGAAGAGAAUGGGCAGCGUGUUCACCACCACUUAGCACCAGAGACAACACGGCAGACUCUACGAUGAAGCCCACGUAGGCCCACAUCUAUACUAACAUCAGUUGUAUAGGUCUCAACAACUGAUCGGUUGAGAGACGGGACCAAAGAGCCAAAGCUCAACCCCCACAAGCACAAAUAGAACACUGCAGAACUACAUAGCCUAUCUUGCAAGUUACAACAACAAAAAUUAGCGUCUGUUUACAAAAGCUCAAGAGCAUAUUGCAUAAACAAAUUAAUGGAGCUAAGGUUGGACCACAAGCACAUGGCGAGGUCGCGCGGGCUCUGAUCUUAGCCACAACACCAGUAGGAAUAUCUUGCUGACACACACACUGCCGCCACCACCACUACCACCACCACCACCCCCGUCCCGGCAACCCUCUCCCUCACCCACUAGAGUUAAGAUAAAAAAUUCAGCAUGGAAAUUACUUCUUGAAGAAGACAUUGAAUGAAGAUCAGGCUGUGAUUCAUACAUCAGGCUGCGAGCAUCCGCGUCCAACAGCCUGGUUGACCAGUCCAUCAAUGAAGAGGCCUGGUCGAGGACCGGACCGCGGGGCCAUUGAUCCCCGGAAGCUACACAAGGUAGACAGAAGGAAGGUAAGGUAUAGAAUGGCAGGGCGGGAUAGGGUAAGGUAGCGUAUCCUCACUACAUACAACUGUUCUUCUAGUGACAAGAGAUUUGUGUAUUAAAGCAAAACAAAGAAAGGAGUGACCUCAGGUGUUUUCAUUGUCGUUACUCUCACCUGGAGUAUUACUCUCAUCUCGCCAGCUACAGCAUUCAUCAACAGUCCCGGCUCCCACACAUGCAGGUGCUGCUGCUUGUUCCAGUGCUGCACACACCUGCCAGGGUAGUGCUGGUACUAUUAUUGGAGGAGGACAACGACGACAAGUAGGAAGGAGGAGAGAGAGAGAGGCGGCUAAUAAACACAUUCUACUGACACGAAACUUCUUUUUUUAUGAUUUAGCUGCAGUACCGCUCGAAGACCUCUGCCCACUACCUGAAGACUACACACUGCCAGGCUAAGACUUCAACACACACACACACACACACACACACACACACACGAAACCAGGUGAUCAGCUCACUCAACACCUAACUGUUAGGAAGCGGCUGAUGGCAAGACCAUUAGUGGUGGGCAUGUCACCGUGAACUCUCCGGCCCGGCCCCGCCCCGGCCCGCCCCCAACACUAACUACAAUAUUACAACACCUCUCUCAACGCUCACCAAAUUAACCGAAUACUCCCAGAAAGUUAAAUGGGAAAGAAAGCCUAUUCUUAAUACGGCCAACAAUUGUCUAUUAACAUUAUGUGAUCUUGCCGAAGUUAUGUCGAAGUUACCAUAACUUUAUAUGAGGAAAUACGACACGGAACCAGGGGCCAUAUUCACGAAAGCACUUACGCAAGCACUUAUGAACCUGUACAUCUUUUCUCAAUCUUUGGCGACUUUGUUUACAAUUAUUAAACAGUUAAUGA
This is a non-coding RNA of Procambarus clarkii (red swamp crayfish), 2308 nucleotides long. NCBI's taxonomy places the organism in Eukaryota, Metazoa, Arthropoda, Malacostraca, Decapoda, Cambaridae. The record is from RefSeq and is a predicted model, not a curated record.